AAAGACAUCUUGAAAAGCAGAGUAAUUAGUCCACUUGCUUUUAAAGAGAGUUGACAUUUUGGUGAAAGUCAACAAGUAAGAACUAAUGAAGAUGGGCUUGGAAUGAUGACUAGUAGUGAUAUUUAGCUACUGGCGGACUUGCAUCCGAUAUCAAUGCAGGCUAUGUAAGUAGCUAGUGAGGUCUAUUUAUGCGAAUAAGUAGAUAAAUUAAGGUGGUAACGCGAAGCACUCGUCCUUUUU
RNAcentral lists this non-coding RNA (240 nucleotides) under Lactobacillus sp. RNAcentral's name for it is "T-box sequence". It matches the Rfam family "T-box leader". Rfam says of the family: Uncharged tRNA acts as the effector for transcription antitermination of genes in the T-box leader family. T-boxes are found upstream of many aminoacyl-tRNA synthetase genes and some amino acid biosynthetic genes usually in Gram-positive bacteria. Lineage: Bacteria; Bacillati; Bacillota; Bacilli; Lactobacillales; Lactobacillaceae. The record is from RNAcentral.